RNAcentral lists this ribosomal RNA (271 nucleotides) under uncultured bacterium. RNAcentral describes it as "partial 16S ribosomal RNA". It matches the Rfam family "Bacterial small subunit ribosomal RNA", at positions 524 to 794 of the family's 1533-position model. The record is from RNAcentral.
UACAGGGGAUGCAAGUGUUAUCCGGAAUUAUUGGGCGUAAAGCGUCUGUAGGUUGAUUUAUAAGUCUUUUGUUAAAUAUUUAAGCUUAACUUAAAAAUAGCAAAGGAAACUAUUUAUCUAGAGUUUGGUAGAGGUAAAGGGAAUUUCCAGUGAAAUGGUGAAAUAUUUAGAUAUUGGAAAGAACACCAAGGGCGAAGGCAUUUUACUGGGCCAUAACUGACACUGAGAGACGAAAGCUAGGGGAGCAAACGGGAUUAGAUACCCCCGUAGU